AGAGUUUGAUCAUGGCUCAGAUUGAACGCUGGCGGCAGGCCUAACACAUGCAAGUCGAGCGGUAACACAGAGAGCUUGCUCUCGGGUGACGAGCGGCGGACGGGUGAGUAAUGUCUGGGAAACUGCCUGAUGGAGGGGGAUAACUACUGGAAACGGUAGCUAAUACCGCAUAACGUCGCAAGACCAAAGUGGGGGACCUUCGGGCCUCAUGCCAUCAGAUGUGCCCAGAUGGGAUUAGCUAGUAGGUGGGGUAAUGGCUCACCUAGGCGACGAUCCCUAGCUGGUCUGAGAGGAUGACCAGCCACACUGGAACUGAGACACGGUCCAGACUCCUACGGGAGGCAGCAGUGGGGAAUAUUGCACAAUGGGCGCAAGCCUGAUGCAGCCAUGCCGCGUGUAUGAAGAAGGCCUUCGGGUUGUAAAGUACUUUCAGCGAGGAGGAAGGCGUUAAGGUUAAUAACCUUGGCGAUUGACGUUACUCGCAGAAGAAGCACCGGCUAACUCCGUGCCAGCAGCCGCGGUAAUACGGAGGGUGCAAGCGUUAAUCGGAAUUACUGGGCGUAAAGCGCACGCAGGCGGUCUGUCAAGUCGGAUGUGAAAUCCCCGGGCUCAACCUGGGAACUGCAUUCGAAACUGGCAGGCUAGAGUCUUGUAGAGGGGGGUAGAAUUCCAGGUGUAGCGGUGAAAUGCGUAGAGAUCUGGAGGAAUACCGGUGGCGAAGGCGGCCCCCUGGACAAAGACUGACGCUCAGGUGCGAAAGCGUGGGGAGCAAACAGGAUUAGAUACCCUGGUAGUCCACGCCGUAAACGAUGUCGACUUGGAGGUUGUGCCCUUGAGGCGUGGCUUCCGGAGCUAACGCGUUAAGUCGACCGCCUGGGGAGUACGGCCGCAAGGUUAAAACUCAAAUGAAUUGACGGGGGCCCGCACAAGCGGUGGAGCAUGUGGUUUAAUUCGAUGCAACGCGAAGAACCUUACCUACUCUUGACAUCCAGAGAACUUAGCAGAGAUGCUUUGGUGCCUUCGGGAACUCUGAGACAGGUGCUGCAUGGCUGUCGUCAGCUCGUGUUGUGAAAUGUUGGGUUAAGUCCCGCAACGAGCGCAACCCUUAUCCUUUGUUGCCAGCGGUCCGGCCGGGAACUCAAAGGAGACUGCCAGUGAUAAACUGGAGGAAGGUGGGGAUGACGUCAAGUCAUCAUGGCCCUUACGAGUAGGGCUACACACGUGCUACAAUGGCAUAUACAAAGAGAAGCGACCUCGCGAGAGCAAGCGGACCUCAUAAAGUAUGUCGUAGUCCGGAUUGGAGUCUGCAACUCGACUCCAUGAAGUCGGAAUCGCUAGUAAUCGUAGAUCAGAAUGCUACGGUGAAUACGUUCCCGGGCCUUGUACACACCGCCCGUCACACCAUGGGAGUGGGUUGCAAAAGAAGUAGGUAGCUUAACCUUCGGGAGGGCGCUUACCACUUUGUGAUUCAUGACUGGGGGUGAAGUCGUAACAAGGUAACCGUAGGGGAACCUGCGGUUGGAUCACCU
This 1529-nucleotide ribosomal RNA is filed under the name Klebsiella aerogenes. RNAcentral's name for it is "bacterial SSU rRNA". It matches the Rfam family "Bacterial small subunit ribosomal RNA". Lineage: Bacteria; Pseudomonadati; Pseudomonadota; Gammaproteobacteria; Enterobacterales; Enterobacteriaceae. The record is from RNAcentral.